UACGGAAGGCAGCAGUGGGGAAUAUUGCACAAUGGGCGAAAGCCUGAUGCAGCUAUGCCGCGUGUAUGAAGAAGGCCUUAGGGUUGUAAAGUACUUUCAUCGGGGAGGAAAAAACAAAACUAAUAAUUUUAUUUCUUGACGUUACCCGAAAAAGAAGCACCGGCUAACUCCGUGCCAGCAGCCGCGGUAAUACGGAGGGUGCUAGCGUUAAUCAGAAUUACUGGGCGUAAAGAGCACGUAGGUGGUUUUUUAAGUCAGAUGUGAAAUCCCUGGGCUUAACCUGGAACUGCAUUUUGAAACUGAAAUACUAGAGUAUCGUAGAGGGAGGUAGAAUUCUAGGUGUAGCGGUGAAAUGCGUAGAUAUCUGGAGGAAUACCUGUGGCGAAAGCGGCCUCCUAAACGACUACUGACACUGAGGUGCGAAAGCGUGGGGAGCAAACAGGGAUUAAUACCCG
This 455-nucleotide ribosomal RNA is filed under the name uncultured bacterium. Its description in RNAcentral is "bacterial SSU rRNA". It matches the Rfam family "Bacterial small subunit ribosomal RNA", at positions 340 to 788 of the family's 1533-position model. The record is from RNAcentral.